Long non-coding RNA from Anguilla anguilla (European eel), 265 nucleotides. RefSeq lists it as uncharacterized. Lineage: Eukaryota; Metazoa; Chordata; Actinopteri; Anguilliformes; Anguillidae. The transcript has 3 exons. The record is from RefSeq and is a predicted model, not a curated record.
CAGAUAAUUCCUUCGCUUUGAGACUGGCCUACAAGAUCAAUGACGUGAGCUUUCCAGAGAAUGUAGAACUCAGGACGGAGACGCAAGCGCGCAUUCAGGACUCGGUCAACAAGCUGAUGAACGGAUUGCUGAUCCAACCUAAUGCAAGGCCUUUCACCUUCCCACAAGCAAAUUUCACCCACCUGCCCAAUGAGAUUCGUGCGAAUGUGGAGUAUGUCUAUCAGGAAGGUGACAUCAACCAACCAAGCAACUUCCUGGCUGCGAU